Molecule: unclassified non-coding RNA, 219 nt
Filed under: Tomentella cinerascens
Lineage: Eukaryota; Fungi; Basidiomycota; Agaricomycetes; Thelephorales; Thelephoraceae
Description: ITS2
Source: RNAcentral
AACAUCUCAACUCUCACGGUUCGCCGUGAUGAGCUUGGACCUUGGGGGUCUUGCCGGCCUGCGGGUUGGCUCCUCUCAAAUCGAUCAGCUCGCCAGUGUUUGGUGGCAUCACGUGUGUGAUAACUAUCUACGCUCGUGGUUCUCUGCCAGGUAACCUUCGGUGACGGAGGUUCGCUGGAGCUCACAAACGUCUCUCCUCAGUGAGGACAGCUUUUUAAC